Molecule: ribosomal RNA, 440 nt
Filed under: uncultured bacterium
Lineage: Bacteria
Description: partial 16S ribosomal RNA
Rfam family: Bacterial small subunit ribosomal RNA
Source: RNAcentral
CCUACGGGUGGCAGCAGUGGGGGAUAUUGCACAAUGGGGGAAACCCUGAUGCAGCGACGCCGCGUGGGUGAAGAAGCGCCUCGGCGCGUAAAGCCCUGUCAGCAGGGAAGAAAAUGACGGUACCUGAAGAAGAAGCCCCGGCUAACUACGUGCCAGCAGCCGCGGUAAUACGUAGGGGGCAAGCGUUAUCCGGAGUUACUGGGUGUAAAGGGGGCGCAGACGGCGAUGCAAGCCAGGAGUGAAAGCCCGGGGCCCAACCCCGGGACUGCUCGUGGAACUGCGUGGCUAGAGUGCAGGAGGGGCAGGCGGAAUUCCUGGUGGAGCGGUGAAAUGCGUAGAUAGCAGGAGGAAGACCGGGGGCGAAGGCGGCCUGCUGGACUGCAACUGACGUUGAGGCCCGAAAGCGUGGGGAGCAAACAGGAUUAGAUACCCGGGUAGUC